This 254-nucleotide ribosomal RNA is filed under the name uncultured bacterium. RNAcentral describes it as "partial 16S ribosomal RNA". It matches the Rfam family "Bacterial small subunit ribosomal RNA", at positions 524 to 776 of the family's 1533-position model. The record is from RNAcentral.
UACGUAGGGUGCAAGCGUUGUCCGGAAUUAUUGGGCGUAAAGAGCUCGUAGGCGGUCUGUCGCGUCUGCUGUGAAAACUCAGGGCUUAACCCUGAGCUUGCGGUCGAUACGGGCAUGACUGGAGUUCGGUAGGGGAGACUGGAAUUCCUGGUGUAGCGGUGAAAUGCGCAGAUAUCAGGAGGAACACCGGCGGCGAAGGCGGGUCUCUGGGCCGAUACUGACGCUGAGGAGCGAAAGCGUGGGGAGCGAACAGG